CCCGCUUCUGCCGCCGCAGUCUGACAGAAGAGCGAGCGAGGUUGUAUCAUGGCGAGCAACAGGUCGUUUACUGGGAUGAAGAUUUGGUGUUGAUAGAGGUAACUUCUUUAAGGCAAAACCUUAGACCUGAUGCAACAUCAUCCCAUGUUGCAAUCACCCUCAGGAGGCACUUGAAGCCCAGUGCCCAAUAUGCACAGGAACAUUUCCAGUGUCAGAAGUAGAACUGCCAUGCCAGCUUUUGUGG
Long non-coding RNA from Sinocyclocheilus anshuiensis, 244 nucleotides. RefSeq lists it as uncharacterized. The transcript is spliced from 3 exons. Lineage: Eukaryota; Metazoa; Chordata; Actinopteri; Cypriniformes; Cyprinidae. The record is from RefSeq and is a predicted model, not a curated record.